RNAcentral lists this ribosomal RNA (397 nucleotides) under uncultured bacterium. RNAcentral's name for it is "partial 16S ribosomal RNA". It matches the Rfam family "Bacterial small subunit ribosomal RNA", at positions 523 to 918 of the family's 1533-position model. The record is from RNAcentral.
AUACGUAGGUGACAAGCGUUAUCCGGAUUUACUGGGCGUAAAGGGCGUGUAGGCGGUCUUGCAAGUCAGAAGUGAAAUUCCUGAGCUCAACUCGGGCGCUGCUUCUGAAACUGCAGGACUUGAGUGCAGGAGAGGAAAGUGGAAUUCCCAGUGUAGCGGUGAAAUGCGUAGAGAUUGGGAGGAACACCAGUGGCGAAGGCGACUUACUGGACUGUAACUGACGCUGAGGCGCGAAAGUGUGGGGAGCAAACAGGAUUAGAUACCCUGGUAGUCCACACUGUAAACGAUGAAUGCUAGGUGUAAGAGGUAUCGACCCCUUUUGUGCCGGAGUCAACACAAUAAGCAUUCCGCCUGGGGAGUACGGCCGCAAGGUUGAAACUCAAAGGAAUUGACGGGG